This 301-nucleotide ribosomal RNA is filed under the name uncultured bacterium. RNAcentral describes it as "partial 16S ribosomal RNA". It matches the Rfam family "Bacterial small subunit ribosomal RNA", at positions 509 to 807 of the family's 1533-position model. The record is from RNAcentral.
CAGCAGCCGCGGGAAUACGGAGGGGGCUAGCGUUGUUCGGAAUUACUGGGCGUAAAGCGCACGUAGGCGGCUUGGUAAGUUAGAGGUGAAAGCCUGGAGCUCAACUCCAGAAUCGCCUUUAAGACUGCCGAGCUAGCAGGUGAGAGAGGUAAGUGGAAUUCCGAGUGUAGAGGUGAAAUUCGUAGAUAUUCGGAAGAACACCAGUGGCGAAGGCGGCUUACUGGCUCAUACUGGACGCUGAGGUGCGAAAGCGUGGGGAGCAAACAGGAUUAGAUACCCGAGUAGUCCCUGUCUCUUAUAC